GGCCUUUGUAGCUCAGUGGUAGAGCAGCCGCCUAGUAAGCGGCUGGUGGUGGGUUCGAUUCCUACCUGAGGCCC
Molecule: transfer RNA, 74 nt
Filed under: Rhodococcus (subgen. Prescottella) equi
Lineage: Bacteria; Bacillati; Actinomycetota; Actinomycetes; Mycobacteriales; Nocardiaceae
Description: Prescottella equi tRNA-Thr
Rfam family: tRNA
About the family: Transfer RNA (tRNA) molecules are approximately 80 nucleotides in length. Their secondary structure includes four short double-helical elements and three loops (D, anti-codon, and T loops).
Source: RNAcentral